UAAGACGAUCACAUCUGACGUCAAAAGCUGUAAGCAGGACGGGGUCUGGUUAGUACUUGGAUGGGAGACCACUGGGAAAAUCAGGUGCCAUUGUGA
RNAcentral lists this ribosomal RNA (96 nucleotides) under Periophthalmus magnuspinnatus. Lineage: Eukaryota; Metazoa; Chordata; Actinopteri; Gobiiformes; Gobiidae. The record is from RNAcentral.